RNAcentral lists this long non-coding RNA (1090 nucleotides) under Gossypium barbadense (sea-island cotton). RNAcentral's name for it is "long non-coding RNA (GBAR_LNC018118)". Lineage: Eukaryota; Viridiplantae; Streptophyta; Magnoliopsida; Malvales; Malvaceae. The record is from RNAcentral.
AUAAAGUCAUCGAUUAAUCGUUCCGUUCCAGUUUAUCGCUAUCCGAGGUAAGUUUAUAAUCAAAUAGAUGUUAUAAUUUCUGAAUAAAUAUUAGUUAUAUAUGCCGAAAUGAAAGUAUGCAAAAAUAUAUAUACGUAGCGGAAUGUGUUUUAGUCAGAAAGUAGAAAUAGACGUGAAUGUGAUUUAUCAAUAUUUAGCACUAAGUGUGCGAGUAUGGGAUAGCUACAGCUAUAUGAACGGCACUAAGUGUGUGAAACUAAAAUGACGAUGUUGAAUAAUGGGCACUAAGUGUGCGAAAUUAAAAUGAUGAUGUUGAAUAACGAGCACUAAGUGUGCGAUACCGAGAGCAAUUUGGUUAGAUGAGAAAGAGCACUAAUUGUGCAACUUCAUUAUGGCCUCGACCAAUUAUUUAGUACAUGAUAGGUCAAGUAUGCAAUGGUUGAAUAAUAAAUGAUAUCAAGGUAAGUUAGUUACUUCAAUUGUGAUAAGAAAAUUUAUAUAAGGUAAAUGAAAGUAUAUGAGUAUAUGAAGGUCUAUAUUCGGCCAAAUGGUAAGUAUAUGUGAUAUUGUAAUUGUGAAUUAUAUGCAUCUAUAUAUGAAUGAGUACAUUUGGUAAAUAGUGGGUAUAUGAUUUGAAAGUGAAAAAUAAUUACGUGUAUAUUUGGCUAAGUUGAAAUUGAUUCAUAGUUACAUAUUAGAUAAUUAAAUUUUGCAAGCUCAAAUGUGUAUAUAUGAAUAUGAUUGCAUUAUUCGGUUUUGUUAUUGAAUUAUUAACAUUAUUGAAUUGUCUAAUUGAUUAUGACUUACUAAGCUGUGAUAGCUUAUACUGUAUGUGUGUUUCCUUCGGUUUUAUAGAUUUUGGAAGCUAGUUACGGGCUCGGGGAUCAUUAGCGAAGUCAAUCACACUAUCGACCGUCCAUCGGUAUUUAUAAAAGUUCAAUAUAAAAUCUAUGGCAUGUAUAGACUAUACUACCCUUUUGAAUAUAUAUUUUGAAUGAAGUGUGUAUAUAUAAUAAUACAUGCGAAAAUGGCUUGUUUAUUUUGUUAUGAAUGGUUUUAUGUUUUGAUUAAAUAUUAUGGUUGAUGAUUU